UACGUAGGUGGCAAGCGUUGUCCGGAUUCACUGGGCGUAAAGCGCGCGCAGGCGGUCUUCUACGUCUGGGGUGAAAACCCGGGGCUCAACCCCGGGACUGCCUUGGAUACGGGGAGACUUGAGGAUCGGAGAGGCAAGGGGAAUUCCACGUGUAGCGGUGAAAUGCGUAGAGAUGUGGAGGAACACCUGUGGCGAAGGCGCCUUGCUGGCCGAUUUCUGACGCUGAGGCGCGAAAGCGUGGGGAGCAAAC
Molecule: ribosomal RNA, 250 nt
Filed under: uncultured bacterium
Lineage: Bacteria
Description: partial 16S ribosomal RNA
Rfam family: Bacterial small subunit ribosomal RNA
Source: RNAcentral